Molecule: ribosomal RNA, 481 nt
Filed under: uncultured bacterium
Lineage: Bacteria
Description: bacterial SSU rRNA
Rfam family: Bacterial small subunit ribosomal RNA
Source: RNAcentral
GACGAACGCUGGCGGCGUGCUUAACACAUGCAAGUCGAGCGGAAAGGCCCUUCGGGGUACUCGAGCGGCGAACGGGUGAGUAACACGUGAGUAUCUGCCCUGCGCUCUGGGAUAGCCACCGGAAACGGUGAUUAAUACCGGAUAGGACCACUUCACGCAUGUGAUGGUGGUGGAAAGUUUUUUCGGCGCAGGAUGUGCUCGCGGCCUAUCAGCUUGUUGGUGAGGUAAUGGCUCACCAAGGCUUUGACGGGUAGCCGGCCUGAGAGGGUGACCGGUCACACUGGGACUGAGACACGGCCCAGACUCCUACGGGAGGCAGCAGUGGGGAAUAUUGGACAAUGGGCGGAAGCCUGAUCCAGCAACGCCGCGUGAGGGAUGACGGCCUUCGGGUUGUAAACCUCUUUCAGUAGGGACGAAGCGCAAGUGACGGUACCUACAGAAGAAGGACCGGCCAACUACGUGCCAGCCGCCGCGGUAAUAC